GUUGCGGUCCACACUUCUUUCCGGUUGGUGGCAGUAAUGCUUCCUUCAGCUGUUUGCUGACCGCCAAUAUAACUUAAGACGUCAGAGCUCCUUAUGAAAAAUGAAAAGCAGAAAGCGCAACAGUGAAGCGAAGAAGAAAAACAAGAAAGCUCUGGAAACAUACGCAGCUAGACGUGCGAAACCUAGCAACUUUUUCGCAAAAACGAGCUCGCGGUUGGAAGCGUCAAUGAAGACGAUGAGACGGCUCCCAGGACCAGCCUGAGACUGAAUAGGGCCCCGCCCCAGGCAGAAUCUGAUGUGGGAGCCGACUUGCAGACGGCUGAAGCCCAGCGAUACACAGCGGGAGGUGUUAAUGAUGUGAGGGCUCAGUGUUCUCUGCUGGGAGUGAUCUGUUGUGUGUCAGCUUCUGUCUGUCACCACACAAAUGGGAGAAAAGAAAAAAAAAAACAUCCUUAUUGUUUCCAUAUGUGUGUUUUUCACUUUCUUGUCGUUUUGUUUGUAUUUAUAGGAUCGUCUCAAUAAAUUAGAAUAUCUUGGAAAAUGUAUUUAUGUCAGUAAUUGAAUACAUAUUAAAAUGCAUCUCUAAUUGUUA
Molecule: long non-coding RNA, 592 nt
Organism: Gambusia affinis (western mosquitofish)
Lineage: Eukaryota; Metazoa; Chordata; Actinopteri; Cyprinodontiformes; Poeciliidae
Exons: 3
Source: RefSeq, a predicted model, not a curated record